This 322-nucleotide unclassified non-coding RNA is filed under the name Hevea brasiliensis (rubber tree). The record is from RNAcentral. Lineage: Eukaryota; Viridiplantae; Streptophyta; Magnoliopsida; Malpighiales; Euphorbiaceae.
AGCUAAUGUUGAUGGAUACAGUCCUAUUUAUAACCCUGAUGAAUGGUCCCCAAGUGGCGAUGUCUAUGUUGGCGGUACCACUGGCUUAGCCCUUUGGGCAAUAACGUUGGCUGGACUUCUUGCAGGAGGUGCUCUGCUAGUCUACAACACAAGUUCUUUGGCGCGUUAGAUAAUGAAACUGAAAAAGUAAUUGAAUCGAAGAAUCGAAUUUACUCAGAUAUCUAUCGAAAUUAUUAUCUCAUCAGCACAAAUUAAGUUGUAUUGUGACUUAUUCAGUAAAAUAUAUAACUUGUUAAAAGAACUUUUGGCCUCUUAAUUAAUA